AGAAUANGCCNUGCAUGUCUCAGUACNAGCCAAAUUAAGGUGAAACCGCGAAAGGCUCAUUAAAUCAGUUAUGGUUCCUUAGAUCGUACCCACAAUUACUUGGAUAACUGUGGUAAUUCUAGAGCUAAUACAUGCAAACAGAACUCCGACCGGAGACGGAAGGAGUGCUUUUAUUAGAUCAAAACCAAUCGGUGGCGUGUGCUUGCACUCGUCAUCGCACAACUUGGUGACUCUGAAUAACUUUAUGCUGAUCGCACGGUCUUGCACCGGCGACGCAUCUUUCAAAUGUCUGACUUAUCAACUUUCGAUGGUAGGUUCUGCGCCUACCAUGGUUGUAACGGGUAACGGGGAAUCAGGGUUCGAUUCCGGAGAGGGAGCCUGAGAAACGGCUACCACAUCCAAGGAAGGCAGCAGGCGCGCAAAUUACCCACUCCCGGCACGGGGANGUAGUGACGAAAAAUAACGAUACGGGACUCAUCNGAGGCCCCGUAAUCGGNNUGAGUACACUNUAAACCCUUUAACGAGGAUCAAUUGGAGGGCAAGUNUGGUGCCAGCAGCCGCGGUAAUUCCAGCUCCAAUAGCGUAUAUUAAAGUUGUUGCGGUUAAAAAGNUNGUAGUCGAAUUUGUGUCCCGCGCCGCCGGUUCAUCGUUCGCGGUGUUAACUAGCGUGCCGCGGGACGUCCUGCCGGUGGANUAAGCUCUUUAUGGGUGAUGUCCAACUCAAUCCUGCCGCGGUGCUCUUAACUGAGUGUCGAGGUGGGCCGGCACGUUUACUUUGAACAAAUUAGAGUGCUUAAAGCAGGCUAAAAUAUCGCCUGAAUACUGUGUGCAUGGAAUAAUGGAAUAGGACCUCGGUUCUAUUUUGUUGGUUUUCGGAACCCCGAGGUAAUGAUUAAUAGGAACGGAUGGGGGCAUUCGUAUUGUGACGUUAGAGGUGAAAUUCUUGGAUCGUCGCAAGACGGACAGAAGNGAAAGCAUUUGCCNAAAANNNUUUCAUUGAUCAAGAACGAAAGUUAGAGGUUCGAAGGCGAUCAGAUACCGCCCUAGUUCUAACCAUAAACGAUGCCAGCUAGCGAUCCGUCGACGUUCCUCCGAUGACUCGACGGGCAGCUUCCGGGAAACCAAAGCUUUUGGGUUCCGGGGGAAGUAUGGUUGCAAANCUGAAACUUAAAGGAAUUGACGGAAGGGCACCACCAGGAGUGGAGCCUGCGGCUUAAUUUGACUCAACACGGGAAACCUCACCAGGCCCGGACACCGGAAGGAUUGACAGAUUGAGAGCUCUUUCUUGAUUCGGUGGGUGGUGGUGCAUGGCCGUUCUUAGUUGGUGGAGCGAUUUGUCUGGUUAAUUCCGAUAACGAACGAGACUCUAGCCUGCUAACUAGGCGUAUUUGACAUCUUAAAGGCUCGCCGGUUUUGGGGCGUUUCGGCGUUUCCUUUAUCGUGCGCAGUUUUUACUGUCAGCGUACAUACAAUUCUUCUUAGAGGGACAGGCGGCUUCUAGCCGCACGAGAUUGAGCAAUAACAGGUCUGUGAUGCCCUUAGAUGUUNUGGGCCGCACGCGCGNUACACUGAAGGAAUCAGNGUGUCCUCCCUGUCCGAGCGGACCGGGUAACCCGCUGAACUUCCUUCGUGCUAUGGAUUGGGGNUUGCAAUUGUUCCCCAUGAACGAGGAAUUCCCAGUAAGCGCGAGUCAUAAGCUCGCGUUGAUUACGUCCNUGCCCUUUGUACACACCNCCCGUCGCUACUACCGANNGAAUNAUUUAGAGAGGUNUUNGGAUCGGUUCGCGGUGGCGUUUNGANNUAGCNGAUNUUACUGANANGAUGACCA
This 1828-nucleotide ribosomal RNA is filed under the name Homoeolabus analis. Its description in RNAcentral is "SSU rRNA". It matches the Rfam family "Eukaryotic small subunit ribosomal RNA". The record is from RNAcentral. Lineage: Eukaryota; Metazoa; Arthropoda; Insecta; Coleoptera; Attelabidae.